RNAcentral lists this transfer RNA (71 nucleotides) under Cerambycidae sp. 4 KM-2017. Its description in RNAcentral is "tRNA-Lys". Lineage: Eukaryota; Metazoa; Arthropoda; Insecta; Coleoptera; Cerambycidae. The record is from RNAcentral.
CAUUGGAUAGCUAAAAGUUAGCAAUGGAAUUUUAAACCAUUUUAUAGUAAAUUCACGAUUACUUCUAAUGA